This 466-nucleotide ribosomal RNA is filed under the name uncultured bacterium. RNAcentral's name for it is "bacterial SSU rRNA". It matches the Rfam family "Bacterial small subunit ribosomal RNA", at positions 26 to 507 of the family's 1533-position model. The record is from RNAcentral.
AGGACGAACGCUGGCGGCGUGCCUAACACAUGCAAGUCAACGGGGUAAAUUGCUUCGGUGAUUUACUUAGUGGCGAACGGGUGAGUAACGCGUGAGGAACCUGCCUCUCAGUGGGGGACAACAGUUGGAAACGACUGCUAAUACCGCAUAAAGUAUCCGAAGGGCAUCCUUUGAAUACCAAAGAUUUAUUGCUGAGAGAUGGCCUCGCGUCUGAUUAGAUAGUUGGUGAGGUAACGGCUCACCAAGUCGACGAUCAGUAGCCGGUCUGAGAGGAUGAACGGCCACACUGGGACUGAGAUACGGCCCAGACUCCUACGGGAGGCAGCAGUGGGGAAUAUUGGGCAAUGGGGGAAACCCUGACCCAGCAACGCCGCGUGAAGGAAGAAGGCCUUCGGGUUGUAAACUUCUUUUACCAGGGACGAAGAACGUGACGGUACCUGGAGAAAAAGCAACGGCUAACUACGUG